Molecule: long non-coding RNA, 1355 nt
Filed under: Canis lupus familiaris (dog)
Lineage: Eukaryota; Metazoa; Chordata; Mammalia; Carnivora; Canidae
Description: lncRNA (ENSCAFG00000053987.1)
Source: RNAcentral
GGCUCUGAUUUUUCAGCUCCCCACUUAUUCUCUCCACCAGAAUGAGGCCUGCUUGCCAGUUUCAAUACUCCCAGUCUUGUAUCCCAGUGAUUGGGCUCAGUUUCUGUUCUUUCCUACCUUAUUUUUAGACAAAUUCCCCUAGACAGCCUGACUCUGCUAUGAGAUACCCCAUUAUUCUCAUUGCCCACUGAAGAGGGCUCCAUGACCUGCUCCUCCACUCUGGAUGGCUUCAUCUUAUUUUCUAGUCUCCUGGAAUGGAACUUGAAUUCUCUCAUUCUUUUGUGUAUUGUUCCCUAUUUCUCAAGUGCUGUUGAGGUCACGAUUCUGUUUACUCCUGCUCCCCACCCUGCAUGUUUUGGCUGGUCUCACUUUCACUUUUAGGUUGCUAUUAAGUACCAGCCAUGGCAUUUUAUGUUGGCUUUGCUAUGUAAGCUAAUGCUACCAUUAAAUGAAAAGCUAACUUAUUCAUUAAGAUACUCCACAGUAAUUAGCAUUUGGAGCAUGAUUGCUUUGGAGCAUGAUCACAGUGUAAAACUACAUUGUGUCUCUUUGUUUCAGGUCUUGAUUUACAUGAAGACCCUGGUGAAGAGACCAAACUACUCUCCCAGUCUAUCAUUCUAGUGGCACCGGAAAUUGGAUUUGGCUCGGGAAACUUCCAGUCUUAAAUGGUUAAGCAUCCAGAUACAAGGUUAUGGGAUUGCCUCAGUCAGGAGGACCUGCUUAACUCUGCAAUUCCGAGGGUUUCUAGAGGCGCUCCAAAGCCUUUGCCGGAAGGUGGCGACAUCCGCCCUUCUUGCCUAGAGCUGUCCCAGGUGCUGAAGCCGACAUCCGCGCUUGAGGGAAACCGCGGGCCGGCGAUCCGAGAUUCCAAGUUCCCCUAGAGGUUUGCAGGCUCUGGCCAGACAAGCCAAAGGCCAGAUCAAGUGCUCGACCUUGUUUACAGAACCCAGGCAAAAGACUCCCUUCCCUAAGUAUACUCCGCCAUGAAGCUACGAACCGUGGUAAUGUUCAUUGACAUUAAAAACAGGUGAUGGUAACGGAAAGGCGUGUGUUUAUCUAUGUGUGCAGAAUGCAUACGGAAUUGAGUUUUUUCUUCACUCUGAGAUGUAUUUACCUGUCCGUUGAUAUGCCCUUUCCCUCCUAAUUUCCCAAAGCAAAUAAAUAAAUAAAGCCACAGGCAACAUCCUCCCCCAAGAGAAUCAGGCUGGACUGUCAGAGAAUGAACGGGCUGGCAGGCUUCCUUAAAAAAAAAGCUAAAAAAAACCACUUGGUCUUCUUUCCAUCAGUUAACAAUAAUUUACAGACGACCCCGGGCCUGGCUACCUCCCCGUUCAGGCUCCGUGUGGCUCCUUUGC